RNAcentral lists this ribosomal RNA (254 nucleotides) under uncultured prokaryote. RNAcentral's name for it is "partial 16S ribosomal RNA". It matches the Rfam family "Bacterial small subunit ribosomal RNA", at positions 525 to 777 of the family's 1533-position model. The record is from RNAcentral.
ACGGAGGAUCCAAGCGUUAUCCGGAAUUACUGGGCGUAAAGAGUUGCGUAGGUGGCAUGGUAAGCGAGUAGUGAAAGCGUUCGGCUCAACCGAAUAUCCAUUACUUGAACUGCCAAGCUAGAGGAUGAGAGAGGUAGAUGGAAUUCCUAGUGUAGGGGUAAUAUCCGUUGAUAUUAGGAGGAACACCGAUGGCGUAAGCAGUCUACUGGCUCAUUUCUGACACUAAGGCACGAAAGCGUGGGGAGCAAACAGGA